This 298-nucleotide long non-coding RNA is filed under the name Elaeis guineensis (African oil palm). RNAcentral's name for it is "long non-coding RNA (EGUI_LNC070275)". Lineage: Eukaryota; Viridiplantae; Streptophyta; Magnoliopsida; Arecales; Arecaceae. The record is from RNAcentral.
UCCACUCUAAACUCUAGCCCCUUAAAAGGCUUCAACCAUCAACUCCUUGCUACAAAGUCUCACAUCCUCAUCUAGCUCGGAUCAUCACCAAUAUGAUCUAAGCUAGCUAGAGAGAUAGGAAACUUCUCCACUUCUUCUUUAGCACUUGCUUAAAUCCAGAACCUAGAUGGGAUAAAAGUUAUGUCUUCACGAUUUUAGUACAUGUUGUAGGACUUCUCAAUCAAUUGCCCAUGCCAUAACUACCAACAAUACCAAGCAGGUCUAGUCAAAGAAUGCUAUUCUUGAAUGUAUGACAUGA